Molecule: ribosomal RNA, 497 nt
Filed under: uncultured bacterium
Lineage: Bacteria
Description: partial 16S ribosomal RNA
Rfam family: Bacterial small subunit ribosomal RNA
Source: RNAcentral
GAUGAACGCUGGCGGCGUGCCUAAUACAUGCAAGUCGAGCGAACAGACGAGGAGCUUGCUCCUCUGACGUUAGCGGCGGACGGGUGAGUAACACGUGGAUAACCUACCUAUAAGACUGGGAUAACUUCGGGAAACCGGAGCUAAUACCGGAUAAUAUAUUGAACCGCAUGGUUCAAUAGUGAAAGACGGUUUUGCUGUCACUUAUAGAUGGAUCCGCGCCGCAUUAGCUAGUUGGUAAGGUAACGGCUUACCAAGGCGACGAUGCGUAGCCGACCUGAGAGGGUGAUCGGCCGCACUGGAACUGAGACACGGUCCAGACUCCUACGGGAGGCAGCAGUAGGGAAUCUUCCGCAAUGGGCGAAAGCUUGACGGAGCAACGCCGCGUGAGUGAUGAAGGUCUUCGGAUCGUAAAACUCUGUUAUUAGGGAAGAACAAAUGUGUAAGUAACUAUGCACGUCUUGACGGUACCUAAUCAGAAAGCCACGGCUAACUACGUG